AUGAACGCUGGCGGCGUGCCUAAUACAUGCAAGUCGAGCGAACGGACGAGAAGCUUGCUUCUCUGAUGUUAGCGGCGGACGGGUGAGUAACACGUGGAUAACCUACCUAUAAGACUGGGAUAACUUCGGGAAACCGGAGCUAAUACCGGAUGAUAUUUUGAACCGCAUGGUUCAAAAGUGAAAGACGGUCUUGCUGUCACUUAUAGAUGGAUCCGCGCUGCAUUAGCUAGUUGGUAAGGUAACGGCUUACCAAGGCAACGAUGCAUAGCCGACCUGAGAGGGUGAUCGGCCACACUGGAACUGAGACACGGUCCAGACUCCUACGGGAGGCAGCAGUAGGGAAUCUUCCGCAAUGGGCGAAAGCCUGACGGAGCAACGCCGCGUGAGUGAUGGAGGUCUUCGGAUCGUAAAACUCUGUUAUUAGGGAAGAACAUAUGUGUAAGUAACUGUGCACAUCUUGACGGUACCUAAUCAGAAAGCCACGGCUAACUACGUG
Molecule: ribosomal RNA, 496 nt
Filed under: uncultured bacterium
Lineage: Bacteria
Description: partial 16S ribosomal RNA
Rfam family: Bacterial small subunit ribosomal RNA
Source: RNAcentral